AAAUGACUCUCGGCAACGGAUAUCCCGGCUCUCGCAUCGAUGAAGAACGUAGCGAAAUGCGAUACUUGGUGUGAAUUGCAGAAUCCCGUGAACCAUUGAGUCUUUGAACGCAAGUUGCGCCCGAAGCCACUAGGCUGAGGGCACGUCUGCCUGGGUGUCACGC
RNAcentral lists this ribosomal RNA (163 nucleotides) under Chaerophyllum temulum. RNAcentral describes it as "5.8S ribosomal RNA". It matches the Rfam family "5.8S ribosomal RNA". From Rfam's summary of the family: 5.8S ribosomal RNA (5.8S rRNA) is a component of the large subunit of the eukaryotic ribosome. It is transcribed by RNA polymerase I as part of the 45S precursor that also contains 18S and 28S rRNA. Functionally, it is thought that 5.8S rRNA may be involved in ribosome translocation. The record is from RNAcentral. RNAcentral also lists the same sequence under 1 other name. Lineage: Eukaryota; Viridiplantae; Streptophyta; Magnoliopsida; Apiales; Apiaceae.